GCGGGUUCUCAGGUGAGCGCUCUGUGGCUGGGGCAGGCAGGCAGGCUCCUCGAGGUCCGGCACGGAAGCCGCAAGGGCUGUGGGGCCGUAGGCGGGGCGUCCCGAGGAGACGCAGGGGACCUCGGGAGGGUUGGGGCCUCGGAGUCCCGGCCUGAAGGGGGAAGGGGCUCCGGAGCUGCGGGUGAGUGGGGCUACUCGCCGGGCCCGGGUUUGUGGAGCCUGAGGGAGGGGGCCGUGACCCAGGUUCGAGUCCAGGUCCCACUCCCCAGCCCGCUGUGUGAUCUUAGACAAGUCUCCAUCCCUCUCUGAGCUUCAGUGACCGCUGCUGUGAAAUGAGGGUUGGGGAGGAGGAACCGCCGAGAGUGUGUACAGAUGGACGUUCGGAGAACGAACUCCUCCUGCCUUCUUCCUGUUUAUACUCUCCUUACCCAGGAGAUUGACCGCGGAACGUGGACGGUGGGAGUGUCUGAGUGACCUUGGGCAAGUCCCUUGCUCUGGCCCUUACUUUCCUCAUCUUCAAAAUGAAUGCGCUAAACCUCUUUCAAGCUCUCUUUAAUAUUUGGGUGUUAUUGUUUUAGAUAGAGACAAGGUAGUGAGUGCCCAAUUCACUACAAGGUUUCCCUUCAGGGUGUGAUAGAAUAUAUUCUUGGAAGUUAGAAUCCACCCUGGCCUGAAUUCCCCUUAGUUCCCAGAUUUUGUGGUGUUUUUCUGUUUUUUUUUUUUUGUUUUUGUUUUUGUUUUUGGUCCUCCAACCCUCCUCGUAAUUGGAGGAGUGAUUUCAUCCAAGAGUUGGUGCUGCCACUCAUCUGAACAGUACUGGUGUAUUCACUGGCCUAAAACCAAAGAGCAGUUGCAAGGAAAAAUCUGACAUCCCAGCCUUUUUGUGUUUCAGUGGCAGGGAGGCAAGAUGACUUCUCUCCCCCAAGCUUGGAACAGCUGAAGGAAACAACAGUACAAGAUGAGAACAACAAAGGUCUACAAACUCGUCAUCCACAAGAAGGGCUUUGGGGGCAGUGGUCAGUAUUGAUCCGUUUUGGGGGGUUGCGUAAGUUGGCUGAGGUUCUAGUGUGUCCAGUGCUUCAAAAAUGACACACUGACUCAUGACAAUAGAGGCUGGAGGUGACUUAACUGAGCGAAGCAGCAAGUGUAAUACAGUAGCAGGGAGGGCAGUAGCAUGCGAGAGCACAGGCCCCUUCUAAAAGCACUUGUGUUCUGAUUUUUAAGGAACAAUGUGAAUGUUGCCAGUUUACUACCUUCCAUUUAUUUGUAUUUUAUAUUAUGUAUUUACUAUAUAUGUUCUAUAGAAUCCUAGUCUGCAGUGGUUUGGCAGAUAAGAAAAACUUAACAUUCAUUGAGAGCAGUAGUAAAUAUACAUUAGACAGGUAUGAUCAAAGCGUGAACCUUUGCCUGGUUUCCAGGCAUAGUAAGAAGGAGCAGGACACAGCAUAUUGUUCUGUGCUAAACGAGAUUUUUCAGCUCUGCCUCUAACUUUCCCUGUGACCUCAGGCAAGCCCCUAGUUUAUCUUACUUACAGCCUCAAGCACAUUAGAACAGUUUCUCUGUUUCUCUUAACACCUUGAGUCUAUAAAUAUGCAGAAUAGGAUGGCAAUUAGUAAUACGAUCUUUUUCUUUUUGUAAAGAAAUAAUUUUCCUUUCUGUCCUAACAACCUUAUUUGCUUCCGAAAUUGGAAUUAACAAUACAAUGAGUCAUUUAAAAAUUAUGUUUUACUGUGUAUUUGCACUUACAUAUGUGUAAGUCUCCCAAGGGCAAGGACUACUCAAAAGGGAAAACACUAGUUUCUAUAUCAUAAAGUUUGUGGAGAUUGAGUAAGAUGAUGUAUGUAAAGUAUUUAGCAGAGUACCAUGCUCAGGGCCACUCAGUAAAUGGAACCAUUAUAAUUACCAGGACAAUAUAUACCAGGCAGUUGCUAUAUUUAAAAUACAAUUUUUGGGGCACCUGAGUGGCUCAGUCGGUUUAGUGUCUGACUCUUGAUUUCAGCUCAGGUCAUGAUCUCAUGAUCUGUGAGAGCGAGCCUCUGUCGGGUCUGUGCUGACAGCACGGAGCCUGCUUGGGAUUUUGUCUGUCCCUCUGUCUCUGUGCUUCCCCAGCUUGUACUCUCUUUGUCUCAAAAAUAGAUAUUUAAAAAAACUACAAUUUCUGCUAAAAUGCAGACCUUUGUUAAUAUUAGACUUUGUAUUAAUGUCUAUUAAUGAUAGAUGCUGCGUAAACAUUUGUGGAAUAGAAUUGAAUAGACAACAGAAAUAACUUGUCAGAGGGAAGGAUGCAAGGCUAUAGUAUAUACAGUGUAUAUACAAUGUAUGCAAGUCUACUAUACAAUGUAUAGUUUACUAUAGCUAGGUGCUAUACCCAGUCUCCUUCAGGACUAUGAUUAGAAACACAUCCAACAAACUUAGCUGCAUAUCUAUGCUAAACAUAAAGGUUGUGAAUAUGAUAAGGUCCCUUGUCCUUUAGGAGCUUUCAGCUUGAUGUGACAGAUAUGCAAAAAAAAAAAAAAAAGAUAAAAUGAAACAGUGGAAUUUGUGCUCAGUGCUCAGGGAGUUUCAGACUAUGGAAGUUAGGGGAAGGCAUCACAGAGGAUUUGGCAUAAAACUUUCAAUGGAAGCAAUGUACCAAAUAAAAUUUGGUAUUAACCCAGUGCUUUGCCAUCCUAGGUUGAAUUUUUGUUGGUUUUGAUUAUAUUUGAAAUUUAGAUAUACUUAUUUGUCAUGGAUUUUAGCAUAAUUAAAGACCACAUCUUUCUCUCAAAAUUAAACCAGAAAAAAAAAAAUCACUCUGUCUUUAUGGUUCUGAGUUUGUUAUAUAAGAAAGAGUUCUCCCCACUCCCAGUGAGGGUGGGGGAGAUAAACAUAUGAAAUUAUGUCUUCCUUCUAUUUUAAGAGUCUCAUUGGACCCUAAUGUGAACUGGUAUCCAAAGUUUCUCCCUGAUCAAGUGCUGCCUCCUAAAAUCUAAGGCAUUUUAUUUGGCUUGUUUUUUUCUUUUUCUUUUUCUUUUUAAUGACAUGAGAGGUGGUAGGCUUUAGGCAGAAGGAACCCUGGACUAGUAGUCAGUCUUGGUUGUGCUGUUAUCAGCUGUUUACCCUUAGGCCUGUAUCACCUACAUCAUUUCUUCACUUCUGUUACAUCCGAAGAUUUAUUAUGAGGAUCACAUUAAGACAGUAUUUUUGGAAAUUCUUUGAACACUAUAUAAAUGUAAAGGAUUGUGCUGUAUCUGUGGGACCCAGACAGUUUGUUCCCGGUGUAUGCCAGGUAUGUGAUAAUUCAAGGGAGUAAGGUGUCCCAGAGGUUUAAUUUCCAGAGAGCAAGGACUGCUUUUUCCCUGGGAUUGUUGGGGCGGUAGUAGAAAGAACAUGAUCUCUGAGGACAAAGGCCCCUGAAAGUUGACCCACUCAUCUACUCACUAGCUUUGUGUCCCUGUAUGAGGUUAUGAUGACCCAACCUGAGAACGUAUACCAUAACUGGUUGCCCACAUGAGUCUCUUUUCUAUUUGAAAUUGCCCAAUUAUCUUUCAGAUGAUGAGCUAGUCAUGAACCCCAAAGUGUUUCCUCACAUCAAGCUUGGAGACAUUGUGGAGAUUGCUCACCCCAAUGAUGAAUACAGGUAAACCUCUCAUUAGGAUCAAGGGAACUAAUUGGACAGGCUGAUGUUUCUGAAUAUUUUGUUUAAGGGGCUUGAUGGGCAAGACAGCUCUUAGCUUUUACAUAAAAAUGUUCCUGUUCUCUAGGAUUUGAUAAACCGAUGAUCUUUUAAAAAGUAGUCUAUUCUUUUGUUUUUAAAGCUGAAAUGAGAACUCUGAAAAUUGUGUAGCAUUUAUCUGUUUCCUUGAGUGCAAGUGCAUAGUUUCUUUGUUUCUAAGAGAACUUUCUCCCCUUGUUGUGCUGCAGGUUACAUUAUGUCCAGAGGGAUCUGUUUGCCUUUUGUUGGGGGGUGAAAAAAGCUGGUUAAUUACCGCUUACAGCAUCCUAUCUCUUUGUUGCUUUUUUCUCCAGCCCUCUGCUUUUGCAGGUCAAAUCACUUAAGGAAGAUUUACAGAAAGGUAAGAAUUCCAUCUCUCUUCUCUAAGAUUUUUGUACUUAGAGAAACUGUUUCAGAAACUGUAAGAAAUGUCUCUUCAUAAUCUCAGGGAAUGUGGGCAGCAUACUUCUUUCCUUAUCAAAUUGUGUUCCCUUAAAAAAAUUGUCAGAUAUUGAAACUGCCAAGGAAUCUCAUUUGUCAGCAUCUUGAGGGCACUGAAGGAAUCAUCAUCUUUUUUUUUUUUUUUAAGGGUUUAUUUAUUUAAGUGAUCUCAGUACUCAAUGUGGGGUUCAAACUCACAAUCCAAAGAUCAAGAGUUGCAUGUUCUACUGACUGAGCCAGCCAGGCACCCCAAGAAGCCAUCUUUCUUGUCAGGGGGAAAGUUAACCUGCAUAGGUGAAGCUUUAUGCUUAACUCCAAACAAAACAAAACAAAACAAAACAAAAAACAAAACAAAACAAUUGUUGGCAAAGCAUGCUUUCCUAAAUAUUUUUUCACAAGAUGUGUGUGAAGUGCCUACUCUGGGUGAGACAGGAUAAAGAAACAUUGAUCAUUACCUAUCACAAAUGCAAGGCACUGUGCUGAGAGCUUUUUGUAAUGUCUCUUUCUUUUUGUCUUCCCACACAACUCUUGACUGAGUGAGGAAACUUAAUCUCAGCGAGGUGAAUUAGCUUGUCUGAAGUCAGUAAGUGGAGGAGGCAGAGCCGCCAUUCUACUUUCUCAUUCUGGAUCUGAUCCCCUUACCAUGGGGGAUCAAAGAACCAAAAUGUUAAUUGAUAGCAAAUAAAGUAAUUCCUUAAAUAGUACUUAAAAGCAAAAAAAUUAUAAUGUAUUCUAAAGGAUUGUGAUGUCCACUACUUUUACAAUACAAUAUGAUGGGGAAAUAUUUUAUAAAAUCCAAAUCCUAAUAGUCUCUUCCUUACCCUCACCAUCCCAUUUCCUGCCACCUGUUAUGUUUUUUAUUUACCAGAUGUAUGGGCUCAUUGAAAAGUUUGUUUCUCUCUUAUCUACCUUCUCUACUUUCAUUCCAAGUGAGAAAAGAUCUCCUUCCUCUUCUGAACUUUCAUAGUUCUUUGAACUUUUUUUUUUAAUGUUUUAUUUAUUUUUGAGAGAGAGAGAGAGACAGAGUGUGAGCAGGGGAGGGGCAGAGAGAGAAGGAGACACAGAAUCUGAAGCAGGCUCCAGGCUCCGAGUUGUCAGCACAGAGCCUGAUGUGGGGCUUGAACUCACAAACUGCGAGAUCAUGACUUGAGCCAAGUUGGACACUUAACCAACUGAGCCACCCAGGCGCCUCAGCAGUUCUUUGAACUUUUUGAAGUUGCUUCUUAAAUUCGUUAUUUUCCUCUGUCUCCAUUUCUGUCUCUCUUAUUUUAUUUUAUUUUUUAUUUUAUUUUAUUUUUUUUUGCACAGAACCCGGUGUGGGGCUUGAUCCCACGAACCAUGAGAUCGUGACCUGAGCUGAAGUCAGACACUUAACUGGCCCAGGCACCCUUCUGUCUUUCUCGUAUUUUAAUUGCUAGAGGCUCAGGUCUUAUUUCACCUGCUUGCUUCACCUAAAAAGCAGAGAAUUCAAAACUUUAAGAUGCUGGAAGGCAGAGAAUAUUUCUUGCCCAUGUCCAAGGAUCAUUUGUGUUGCAUGUCAAAUGAGUAUUUAUAGAUUAGAAACUUGCUUCUUUUGAAUAUGUUAUCUGAUCCAGAUUUCUUCUGUUUCAGAAACUAUUAGCGUGGACCAGACCGUGACUCAAGUGUUCCGUCUAAGACCUUAUCAAGAUGUUUAUGUGAAUGUUGUAGACCCUAAGGUACGUUUUGGUUCUGGACUUGAAUAUCUUUUGGGAAUGAUUAAUACCAUUCCUAAAGGUUAGGUCUCUAAGGUAAUAACGAGUUGCUUAAGUGUAGUGUUGGACUAUUAAAUAUGUGGUUGUAUAUAGGUCAUUUAGAUUAUAGGUAUUAUGUAGGUUUCAUUUAAAGCCCUUACCCGGGGCGCCUGGGUGGCUCAGUUGGUUGAGCGUCCGACUCCGGCUCAGGUCAUGAUCUCACAGUCCGUGAGUUCGAGCCCCACGUUGGGCUCUGUGCUGACAGCUCAGAGCCUGGAGCCUGUUUCAGAUUCUGUGUCUCCCUCUCUCUCUGAACCUCCCCUGUUCAUGCGCUCUCUCUCUCUGUCUCAAAAAUCAACAAAGGUUAAAAAAAUUAAAAAAAAAAAGCCCUCACCUUUUUUUUCUUAAAGUGUGUACUAAAAAGAUUCUAUAUAUAUGUCUGCUUGUGAAGCUAAUAGUAAAAUUUUCUAUUGAAAUAUAAUUUUUCUGUGUGUUCUCUUUUUUUUUCUGAAAUGAGAAAUGAUGUUAUAAUAGGUAAAAAUCAUUGUGUAUAAGAUAUCAUUGACAUUCUCUAAAGAAAUAAAGCACAGAGCUCAGUGGCCUGUUUAUGUGCCAGAGUCAAGACUAAACACAGAAUUAUUACUUUGGUACUCUUUGCACUUAAUCAUGAUACAGCUGCUGUAGCAUCUGUUGUAGACUUAUCAUCUGUGCUCAAAAGCCUUUCCUGGCAGGAUGAAAUUCUGUUUGUCAGGUUUCUGUUAUUGGAUGGUCUUCUAGUAGUUUUUUCUUGCUAAAAGGGUUCUUCAUGCUUAGUGUGCAUUAUCUUAAGACUAUGAAGUGUGGCAGAGUAAUGCAGAGAGAUAUAUUUGAUUAUCCCUUUUAGGAUGUGACCCUUGACCUAGUGGAAUUAACCUUUAAGGAUCAAUAUAUUGGCCGAGGGGAUAUGUGGCGAUUAAAGAAGAGUUUGGUAAGAUAUGAUUUUAAAAAAAAAGUCUCUUACUUUUCCCAUUGUAUUAAUAAUCCAUGUUCCUCAUAGAGAUAGAUUUAGUGGAGAGAAGAGUAUAAAAUCCUUUCCAAUUCCAACAUCACAGAUAAUUAUUGUAAAUUCUUUGUGUAUCUUCUUCCAUUCUCUUUUUGUAGUUUUUUUGAGCUUUGAUUUGCUUGUUUAUAGAUUUUUACUUCACAUUUUUUUGUUUGGAUGGUAAAUUAUAAUAUCGUUUUACAUUUGAAUGGAACUUUAGCUUUCAGAUGUUCACAUCACCUCCCUGUGGACAGGUAUUUAUUACCCAUAUAAAUUUAUUAGCUUAUAGAUGUGAAAACAGAUUGAAAAGGUAAGUGAUUACCCAAGCCAAAAAAAACAGUCAGUGGUUGACACCAAGCUAGAACCCAGAUUUUGUUGCUUCCAGGUUAGACUGCUUUUUUGCCACAUCCUGCUCCUGUUUUCUUGGUUUCUUUAUUUUGAAUUAACAUUUUCCACCUAAAAUGAUCAGUUCGUUGCGAGCUGGUACUGAACAUUCUUCUUAUUAGGCAUUUUGAGUAUUAUGAAGCAACGCAUUGUAGGUAGAAUUUUCUUUCAUACAGUGUAUAUUUUCAGAAAAAAAUGUUUGCUCAUUUUUUUUUUGGAUGGGAGAGAGUUCCAUUCUAUAAAUUGAGAGCUGAAAUAAGAAAUCAAUGUUCUGUAAUUAAAUGAGUAUGUAAAUGUAGAUAUAUACGUAAACAUGUGUGAAGAUAAAUGUAUUAGUGAGGCUAGGCGUUUAUUCUUACUGUUGUCUAUACUUGCCACACUCGUAAGAACCUACUGUUAUACCUGCCCCAGCAGGUUUCCCUAUGGGGUAAAUCUAUUACUCCCACAUUAAUUGAACCUUGGGUUAUUAGAAGAAAUUAGAAAGGCAGGAGACUUUCUUUGUGACCUUUUAUGGCCUUGAUGUGUUGUUGAAUCUCAUAGUCUUUCUCUUUCUGUCUUCCCUUAGGUCAGCACAUGUGCCUAUAUCACUCAGAAGGUGGAAUUUGCUGGCAUCAGGUAGAUAUUACAUCACUCUUGACUUAUCAGCUAGUAAAUGGAAGUAGGAGCUAGUGUAGUAACUGGGCUGCAUACAGCAUUGGAGGCAUGUGGAUGUCUGUAUGAUAAAAUACACAAUAGCUUAAAAUGUUAGAUUGUUGUUGCUGAAGCAAACUGAAAAAAUCCCAAAAUGCGCUAUAGUGGUUUUAAGAUGAGUGGAAGUUGCUGAAAAAAUCCCAAAAUGCGCUAUAGUGGUUUUAAGAUGAGUGGAAGUUGCUGAAGCCACGUGGUAUUCUGUAAUAAAGGAGGUAUAGACUCAUAAUUUUAGAACUAGAAAAAGCCUUAGAUGAAUGUAUUUAAUCAAGCUUUCUCAUUUUACAGAUUAAAAAACAUAUUUGGAGAUACAAAAUGACUAGCACAGUAGUUCCUGGUUUGCUGCCUUUUUAACCAUAUUGCAUGACUCUUGAUUUAUUCUAAUUAUCCCUAAAUUUCAGUUUGUGGAGAAGAGCAAAAAAGGGCCUUUUAAUUCAAAGAGCACAUUGUCCACAGAGUAAGGCCUUCAAACAGUGCAAAAAGUGUAUAAUGAAAAACAAAUCCUUCUUCUCAGAAAAAAUGGUCUCUUUCCUGAAAUUCAUUAUGUAUAACACAAGCAUAUUUACAUCUGGUUGACUCACUUUUAAUGGCACUAGAAUUGACCAGUGGGUUCUGGUGAUGUAGUCUGGUCCUCCAUUAUGAAGUUCCCCAUCAACUUUUCUCCUAAUGGUUUCACUCAUUUAUGAUUGUUGCAAGAUGGUGAUUUUCUUUUCUUUUCUUUUUUCUUUUCAUUAAUGUUUAUUUAUUUUUGAGACAGAGAGAGGCAGAGAGCACAUGUGCAUAAUCAGGAGAGGGGCAGACAGAGGGGAGUACAGAGGAUCGCGAGCAGGCUCUGCACUAACAGCAGAGAGCCCGAUGCGGGGCUUGAACUCAUGAACCAAAAGAGAUCAUGACUGGAGCCGAAGUCAGAUGCUUAACUGACUGAGCCACCCAGGUGCCUGGGUGAUUUUUCUACUUCAGUCAUUUCUCCUACCUUUGUUAGCUAGAAUCCUUUUUGUAAAGAACUUUUCUUCCUCAACUAGACCUGUUUGAUUAAUCUGAACUACUGAUCCUAAAGGAAAGAAAAGAUAAAGGAUUAUUUUUUCCCCCCAAAUGGGGAUGUUUUAAAAGUUGGAGGAUCAAGGGGCUCCUGGGUGGCUCAGUCGGUUAAGUGUCCUACUUCAGCUCAGGUCAUGUUCUCGUGAUUUGUGAGUUCGAGCUCCAUGUUGGGCUCUAUAGUAACAGCUCAGAGCCUGGAGCCUGCUUCGCGUUCUGUGUCUCCCUCUCUCUUUGCCCCUUCCCCACUUGUGCUCUGCUCUCUCAAAAAUAAGUGAAAAAUAAAAAAAAAAUUUUUUUUAAAUGUUGAAGGGUCAAGAUUCCUUGAAAAAUCUUAGAAGAUUUUAAAGCACAGCCCACGAAGUGACUAAGCCUCGAGCAAAACAAGAAAUGGAACCUAGAUUCACGCUUUCCAGUACAAGCUAGUGUCUCCAAAGUGGUGGGCCAGGAGUCAGGAAAGCUGUAAUCUACUCCUGCACUGCUGGUGAUUAGCAGGGUGAUGUGGGCAGGUCGGGGAGACUCUUGAGUCUACUCUGCAAAAUGAAGUGUUUGGUUUAGAAUCUUUUUCUGUGAAGGACCAGAGAGUAAAGAUUUUGCACUUCAGGCCACAUGGGUCUCAGGUCUCUGUCCCAAAUUCUUAGUUUUUUGUUUUGUUCAACAUUUAAAAAUAUAAAAUCCAUUCUUAGCUGUGGGCCAUACAGAAAUAGGAGAUGGGCUGAAUUUGGCCUGCAGGCUAUAGUUAGCUGAGCCCUGGUUUAGAAACCCACUCAGAUGCCAUUCAUUCUUACAUUUCUUGUUUUUCUGCACAAGUGCCCUUAUCCAUAUGGUACCAGAUAUAGAAAUGAAAACUCAUGACAUAACAUCAGGUUUAGACUUUUAAAGAUCUGUCCUAAUAUUUUGCUCAUUCAUGGUUAAAUGUAAGCCACAAAAUCUACCAUUUCUCCAGAAGACUUAUUUAUAGUCUUCCUAUGCUGAAUCAAAAGUUACUUUUUUUUCUACAUGGAGGCAUGCAAAUUAAAAAAAAAAAAAAGGAAGAUGCUCUGGGACCUUAUAUAAGAAAAGAUAGUCAUUAUUUAUAUAAAGUCAUAAUUAUUAAAUAAUUUUUCUGUAACUUAGUCUUUUCACCCGGUAAUUGAGUUAAUACAUAAGGACAUAUGAGACAGUUCCAUUACCUUGAGACCCUGCCUUUGAAAUGUCAUUUUUCCUUCGAAGGUAAACAUUUUGAUUUUCUCUGACUAAAUUCUCCAUGUAUUCUUUAAUCAGUACUGCAAUCAGUAUUUUUUUAAAAAAGUAAAGUUUUAAAAGAAAAGUAUGAUCUCCUAAAAAUCAGCAUUUUGCUUUUUUUAACUGUGGAACUUAGAAACCUAUUUGAUAGACCUAGAAGUCUAUUUGAUCUCAUUGUGAACAAAUCUCAUUUUUCCAGAUAGAGUUUUUGGGACUGUUGACUAGCUAAGGUUUCUUUUUUUACUUAAAAAAAAAAAAAAAUUGUGUGUGUGUGUGUGUAUGGUUUCCUGUUGGAUCUGCCGUACUGCAGAGGAUCAUCUGGGAUCUUCUCUGAUUUGAAUUUGAUUCUCUGGUGGCCAUUUGGUUGGAAUGUCUUUCCUAGUUAUAGAAUUAAUAUUAUUAAGUACCACUUGUUCAUCAAAUGCUAGAUACCAAGCAUAUGCUAAAUAUUUUUAUAUAUAAUACUUGCUCAUUGUAGACCAUUUGAAAAACAGAUUAAAGAAGCAGGAAAAAGAAACAAUUUACCACUCAGAAUCAACCACUGUUAACAUUUUGACACAGUUCUGUCAAAAUGUAGUACCCUUUUUGGCUUGAGAACAUAUAGUAUAUAUGAUUUUAAUUUUUUUUUUUUUUCAACGUUUAUUUAUUUUUUGGGACAGAGAGAGACAGAGCAUGAACGGGGCAGGGGCAGAGAGAGAGAGACACACACAGAAUCGGAAACAGGCUCCAGGCUCCGAGCCAUCAGCCCAGAGCCUGACGCGGGGCUCGAACUCACGGACCGCAAGAUCGUGACCUGGCCGAAGUCGGACGCUCAACCGACUGCGCCACCCAGGCGCCCCUAGUAUAUAUGAUUUUAUAUACAAUUAAAAAAAAAGAGCCCAAAACAGUUUUCAUAAUUAAAAAGAAAACAUUUAUUCUAGAAAAUUUGGGUAAUACAGAGAGUAUAAAGAAGAAAAUUUACAGUGGUAUAUAAGCCUACUAUGUACAGAUAACCGUGUUUAAAUUUUGGUGUGAUCUUUUAGUAUUUUCUUUUAAAAAAUGUUUUUUAGGGACAUCUGGUCACUCGGUCGGUUGGGCAUCUGACUCUUGGCAUAAAGCCUGCUUGGGAUUCUCUCUCUCCCUCUCUCUGUCCCUCCCCUGCUUGCUCAUUCACUCUCUCAAAACAAAUUUUUUUUUAAAUUAAAAAAAAUUUUUUUUAAUGUUUAUUUUUGAGAGGCAGAGCAUGAGCUGGGGAGGGCAAAGAGGGAGGGAGACACAGAAUCCGAAGCAGGCUGCAGGCUCUGAGCUGUCAGCACAGAGCCCAACACGGGACUUGUACUUACCAGCUGUGAGAUAAUGACCUGAGCUGAAGUUGGACACCUAACCGACUAAACUGCCCAGGUACCCCUCCAAAAAAAUUUUUAAGUGAUCUCUGUGCCUAUCGUGGGGCUUGAAUUCAAAACUCCAAGAUCAAGAGUCACAUGCUCUACGGACUGAGCCAGCCAGGCUCCCCUUAGUGUUUUAUUUUCAUAUAUACAUACACAUGCUUGUAUUUUUACUUAGAUGGUGAUACUAUGUGUACUAUUUUGUAUCCUUUUUUUCCCACUUAAAAGCAUAUAAACAUUUCUGGAAGUUAAAACUCCUUGUAAAUAUUGUUUUAAUGGUUCCAUGAUACUCUGUUUACUUAACUGGUCUGCCAUUGCUGGACAUUUAGGUUGUUCAAAGUUGUGCUGCGUGGAUGACACUACAGCGACCACACUCUGCAUUUAUUUUAACUUCAUAUUCACAGAAUGAUGAAAUUUAGCUGUAAAAGAUAGUGGAGAUCACUGACUCCCAGCAGCUCACUUGAUAGAAAAGGGAGGGGAAGUGCCUGCCCAAGCUGCUACAUAAUUAAGGACUAGUGCCCCCCAGGUCACCUUUACCCUCCUGGGAGUUGGCCAUGUGCCAUUCUGCCUCUCUUGUAGGAAGCCAUGUGCACUCUUGGGUUUUGCCCUGGGGAUAUGGAUUUUACAUUUGCAUCUGUCAGUGGCUCUGUUUCUUCCCUUGAAUCUGCGGAAAAGACAAGAGAAGCUACCUCAGGGCCAACCUCAAUUCCUGUUUGGGUAAGAGCAGAUUUUAGGUUUAGGAGCAAAGGUCACGAUUGCAUUUUCUCUGUGUGUUAUAAAGAACCAUUUCCAUUGGAAUGAUAACUGUUUCAUAGUUCACCAAGUCCUCUCAUUUAUAGUAUCUCAUUGGAUCUUCCCAAGAGCUGUAGAAGAUGGAUGGGGCAGGGUUAUUAACCACAUAUACUGAUUUUUCAAAAACUGGCUCAGAAAGAUUGUGGCUUGACCUCCACAGGGAAUGGAGGUGCAGGAAUCUAAGCCCAAAUUUUGUAACACUACUUUGUCUAUACAUACUAGCAGAAGUUGGUGAGUUAGAGCAGUAACAAUGAGCUCCAUUUAGAGAUCUGGUUAAUCUAGCAUUCAGUAGCCUGUAUGCAGAGUACUUCCUGCUAAUAGAACUCAGAGAUCUUGGGAACAUUGCAUCCUUCCUUCUGUUAAAGAAACAGAAGUGCCUUCUCAGAUGAGGCUUGCUACUUGUCCACUCACAGACACACUGAGCAGAGGAAUGCCAAAAAGCACCCCUGUUGCUGAAAGCAGAGCUGGGAAGCAUAUUUUAAUGUUUUUUUUUUUAAAGUUUAUUUAUUUAUUUAUUUUGAGAGAAAACACGAGUCAGGGAGUGGCAGAGAGAGAGGGAAAGAGAAUCCCAAGCAGGCUUUGAGGAGCCCUAUGUGGGGCUCAAACCCACAAACUGUUAGGUCAUGAUCUGAGCCUAAGUUGGACACUUAACCAACUGAGCCACCCAGGCACCCCUGGGAAGCAUAUUUUAAUUGGUCUAGCUUUCUUCAUUUUACAGGUGGGAGGGAAAGCCAGUAAGGCUGACUGAUUUGUCCAAUGUUUCUCAGGUAGGCUGAGCUGUGACUCAUGGUACACAGCAUUUUCCUUGCUUUGAUUUUAUCUUUUCUUCUUUUUUUAUGAGGACUGAUUGCUUAGGGCCAGACAGGAGAUUGCUUUGGGGUUGGUAGAAGACAAGGGCUUGAGUGGUUGGUUGAGGGAUGAUUAUGAGGUACUCAGAUAACAGCUACCACUUCCUUUCCAGAAGAGCAUUUUGUGUUAAUAUUUACCAGUGGUAUAGUUCUUGCUAAUGCAAAUACCUGCUAGUACUUACUUGAGCACCUCCUAUCCCAGCACUGUCCAGAAUAGUUUCCCCACAUUAUCUGGUUUAAUUCUCAGAACAGCUCUACAAAGUAGAUGUCAUUAUCUCCUUUUUUAAGAUAAGGACACUGGGUCUCACAGAGUUAUUUCCCCAUGGCUAUUCAGCUAGUUCAGUGACUCUUAGAACUUAGAUUCCUGAUGGGACUCGUUCCACUCAAGUCUGAUCUCCUCAGAAGGCCAUGUUCUUUGAACUGUCUGUCCAUUUUGUGCCCUUAAAAAGUUGCAGAGGAAAAGACAUUCAGCCCCCCAAAUGCAAUACCAAAUUGCCAUGAAAACUUUUCAGCAGAAUGGCCUCCAUUGAAUGUGAACCCUGUCCCUAUAUGCCUCCUGACUGCUUGUCUUCUUUAUUAAAGUAUUUUUUUUUAAGUUUUUAUUUAUUUACUUUUGAGAGAGAGCGAGUGAAAGAGAGCAAGUGUGCGCACACGCACAAGCAGCUCCUGGGAGGGGCACAGAGAGGGGGACAGAGGAUCUGAAGCAGGCUCUGCAUGCACAGCACAGAGCCUGAUGUGGGGCUCGAACUCAUGAACCUCGAGAUAGAUCAUGACUUGAGCCGAAGGCAGAUGCUUAACUGACUGAGCCACCCAGAUGUCCCCAUGACUGCUUAUCUUCUAAUUCUGAUAUUAGGAUUGAUUUUGUUUCUGUUGAAACUCCACAUUCAUGAGAAAGUUCACAGAACUUUCACAACUGUUGAAGGCUGGGAUUAGCAAAAUUGUUCAUUCGUUCUUCCUAACUGUUUUUGUGAUGUGGACCCUUUUGAGAUUUGACAAAAGCUAUAAUUCUCUGCCCAGAAAACUUUGCAUGAUUUCAGAGAAAUCAUGGAUUUCCUGAAUCCCUCCUGAGAAUGACAUGUUGUUUAUAGAGUCCCAGAUUAAGAACUGUCAUACAAAUUCAGUACACUCUGAGAAUUCUUUAUGUUGUGUAAUCUUUUCAUGGCUUUCUGGAAAUCUGUAACUGGCCAGGUCAUUUGAGGAUAAAUAUGAGAGUACAGUGAGCCACCCUGAAGUCAUCCCUGUUUCUUCUUGGUUUAUGUAAGACUUGUAAUAACUCUUGCAUGUAUAUCUUUUCAGGGCACAGGCUGGUGAGCUGUGGGUCAAGAAUGAAAAGGUCAUGUGUGGUUAUAUCAGCGAAGAUACCAGGGUGAGAUUGAUAAAAUGCAUUUGUGGUUUUGUUUCUUCAUACUGUUAUGUCUGAGUCCUGAACUCAAAAGACAAAACAGAGACAAGCAAAAACUUGUCUCCUGAUGGCUACUGUUCUCAGGUAGAUAAUAUUUUAAUAUUGUCAAGGAUGUCUGAAAUUUUAGUGUUUUAUAGUUGGAUCUAUCCAGUUUGGGGUUGAUCUUCAUUUUCUCUUCUGAAAGAGGUCUAAAUGUGGAAAUAUAGUGUCUAACCUGCAGGCUUCUUUGCCUACGAAUACAUCGCAAAGGUUAAACUCAGUAGAAGAUUGCAGUCGGUAAACAUGAACAGAGACCUUUGCAAAGGAAAUCUCGUUCUUUGGUUCUUUAUCCCAGUUGGAAAAAGCCAAACUGAACAACUGUAAGCAUUACCCAUGCUGGUGAAACCACCUGUCUGCUCUUCCUUGUUCUCAUCCUCUGCCUCCCUUGAGAGCAGUGGUUUGAACUGAAGGUGAUAUUGCCUCCCCAGGGGACUUUUGGCAAUGUCUGGAGAUAUUUUUAUAUGUCACAGCUAGGAUUAUGUGAAGAAUGUUGCUAAGCAUGAUACAAUGUAUAAGACAGAUCUCCAGACCAAAGAAUUAUCUGGUCCAAAAUGGCAGUGUUGUGGUGGGGGUGCUGUCUGGUGUACUGUGGGAUGCUUAGCAGCAUCCCUAGCCUCUGUACGCUAGAUACGGGUAGUGCCCUGCAGGUCACGACAACCAGACAUGUCUCCAGACAUCACCAAAUGGCCCUAGUUGAGAACCAAUGCCUUCAUAGGUAACUACUAUCUGAAUUUUAUUUUUGUAUUUUUCCUUGUUUGCGUAGUGUUAAUACAUACAUAUGUUACUCUAAACAGUUUACUGUAUAUUUGUUUUGCUUAUUUUUGAGCUUUAUUAAAGUGAAAUUAAAAAAACAGUCCUUUUUAGCUAGCUUUUUUUGUACUUGAUACUAUAUUUUAAGUCUAUAAUUAGGAGUAUAUGGGUUAUAGGUAAAAUAAUGCCAAACUCUUUUUCAAAUUCUUUGGACCACUUAGUAUUCCUAGUAGCAAUAUAUAAAAAUCUGUUGUUUUUCAUUUUUUUUCCAACACUUGGUGUGAGAUUUUUUAAAGUUUCUUGCAGCUCUAGUGGGCAUAGAUUGGUAUAGUGAUCUUGUUUUGCCUCUCUCCAGUUUUCUAGAAAUUUACUCUUUUUUUUUUUUAAGUUUAUUUACUUUUGAGAGAGAGAGAGAGAGAGAGAGCAAGAGCGAGUGCAUGUACGUGCCGGGGAGGGGCAGAAAGAGAGGGGGACAGAGGAUCUGAAAUGGGCUAUGUGCUGACAGCUGAGAUUCUGAUGUGGGGCUUGAACUCAUGAACUGUGAGAUCAUGACCUGAGCCAAAGUAGGCCACUUAAUUGACUGAGCCACCCAGGUGCCCCUCUAGAAAUUCACUCUUGGGGCGCCUGGUGGCUUGGUCGCUUAAUUAAGCGUCUGACUUUGGGUCAGGUCAUGAUCUCAUAGCUUGUGAGUUCAAGCUCUGCAUUAGGUUCUGUGCUGACAGCUCAGAGCCUGGAGCCUGCUUCAGAUUCUGUGUCUCCCUCUCUCUCUACCCCUCUCCUGCUCACUCUCUGCCUCUCUCUCUCUCUCAAAAAUAAAUAAACAUUAAAAAAAAAAAAGAUAUUACUCUUAAGCAUGAUUUACAAAGACUAGGAUAAUUUGGUGUAUGUUUACCUCUUCAACCUUAUUCAUACACUUAUGAUAACUAAUAUGGAAGCGCCUCUUGUGUGUCAGCUACUGUACUUUUUUUUUAUACUUUGUUUUUAAUAUAUUUUUUAAAUUUUAUUUUAGGGAGGGAAAGUCCCAUUGUGGGGCUUGAUCUCACGAAGCAUGAGAUCAUGACCUGGGCCGAAAUCAAAGAGUCGGACAUUCAACCUACUGAGCCACCCAGGUGUCCCUACACUUAAUUUUUAAUGGCUCCUGGCUGGCUCAGUUGGUAGAGCAUGCCUCUCGACCUCUGGGGCAUGAGUUUGAGCCCCGCACUGGGCGUAAAGAUUACUUAAAAAACAAACUGGUACAGGGGCGCCUAGGUGGCGCAGUCGGUUAAGCGUCCGACUUCAGCCAGGUCACGAUCUCGCGGUCCGUGAGUUCGAGCCCCGCAUCAGGCUCUGGGCUGAUGGCUCAGAGCCUGGAGCCUGUUUCUGAUUCUGUGUCUCCCUCUCUCUCUGCCCCUCCCCCAUUCAUGCUCUGUCUCUCUCUGUCCCAAAAAUAAAUAAACGUUGAAAAAAAAAAAAAACUGGUACAGAACAUUAUCCAUGAAUAUCCUUCAUUCUAGAGGGGAAUUCAGAGUGGGGAAUUCCCAUUCAAUGGGGAUGCACGGGUAAACAGCACAAACAAGAUCCCUCCCAGUAAGGAGCUUACACUGUAGUGGGGAGAUAGAUGUAAGUAGAUACCCAGUCCAUAAAUGUGGUAAUUACAGAUUAUGAUGAAUACUCCAAAGGAGAUUAAUCGGGUAAUGAGAAAGACUGAGUGUGGCCACCUUAGUAAACAAGUGACAUAAAUGAAAACUUCUAGGGAAAGAGAUGGGCAUUGUGGUAGAGAAUAACAAGAGACCUUCUUUACAAAGGUGGGCAGGGAGGUGUCUCCGAGAAGGUGCCAGAAAGGUGAGACUUAGUGUAUGAAGGUUGAGACAAAGAGCGUUCCAGGCAGAAGAAACAAUUGUGAGAGGCCAGUGUGACAGAAGCCUAGGGUAUGAGUAGGGAGAAUGAUGUCCAUAUGAAGGUGGUCUGGUUCCAGCCAGUUCAUGCAGGUCCUUGUAACCAGUGUAGAGUGUAUUCUAAGGACGAUCUGCUGAAGGAUUUUAAGGGGGGAGUGAUUUCCAAAUUAGGCUUCCAAAAGAUUACUUAUUCUGUUGGAUUUUUUUGUUGUUGUUACAUAAGUUAAUACCUUUGUUAUAGACUAGUGAUGUUUCAAAUGGUGGAACUUCUACUGGUCUUUGAAUUCUUUCAGGGCUGACUUUGCUGUGAUGGCGGAAGUGUUGUGUGUCCAGGCAGCAUGGGCUAUUCUUUGCAUACAGGAACCACAGUGCCAGAUCCCCACAACUCGUCUUCAUCUUAGUUUUGUCACAGAAGGAGCAUGUGUACUUGUGCUGGCUUUUUUCAAUUUUCUUUACGAUUUUCCUGAUGGAGGCCCCAUAACAGGUCCUGUAUUUACCGACAAUUCUAAUUUUCGUGGUGCAUUUAACCAUGUUGCCACAAACUGGGGCCAAGCUCAGAGAGCCAUCCAGUUGGAUUUUGUUGAACAAAAAAACCUAAAGUAGCAAUGGCAAGCAAAGUCAACUUUUUUCUCUCUGGUAAAAUAAGUCAUUGGGUAGGCCAUUCACUGCUAGGAUGGCAUUGUCACAAUUAUUGGUGAUCUAGAUAGGUUUUUUUUUUUUUUUUAAUUUUUUUAACGUUUAUUUAUUUUUGAGACAGAGAGAGACAGAGCACGAAUGGGGGAGGGUCAAAGAGAGGGAGACACAGAAUCUGAAACAGGCUCCAGGCUCCGAGCUGUCAGCACAAAGCCUGACGCGGGGCUCGAACUCACGGACCGACCGCGAGAUCAUGACCUGAGCCGAAGUUGGCCACCCAACCGACUGAGCCACCCAGGCGCCCCUAGAUAGGUUUUUUUGUCUUCCUGUUCUGCCUUCCUCAGGAUUGGGCUUCCAUGGUUCAGUUGGAGCUGCUGUAACCACUUCAUAUUCCAGGUAGAAGAGAGAGGAGCUACUUAGGAAGCCGGGAGGUUUAGUCUUUUGAUAGUCCCUUGCCUUCCGGAAUAGUGUUGGCUUCCCAUUACGUAGGAAGAAAGGAUGUGCCAUAGGCAUCCACAGUAUGUGCUGUAGCCACUCUGGCUCUGUGUAGAGCAUUGUUUGUAGGGGCAAGAGUAGAAGCAGAGAAAUGGCUUAAGAAGUUAGAAGACUGUGGCAUGGACUGAGGUUAGAGCUGUAGCAACGGAGAGAUGUGGGCAGACUUGGGAUGCGUUUUGGGAUAGAGUCUACAAAACUUGCUGAUGCAUUGGAUAUAAGGAGCAAAGGAAAGAGAAGAAUUGAUCAGCUCGAUAGACAGUUGGUGGUGUCAUUUAUGAGAUGGGGAAGACAGGAGGAGACAUUUGGAAGCAUUUGAGAAAAGAUAUUGGUGAGAUACCUGUUGGGCUUCUGAGAGGAGAAAUCUGGGGAGGCAGGUGAGUCUGGAGCUCAUUUUGUCACUUCUCCCAUAUGUGCCCCUCCCCUCCAAACCCUACCACCCUAUCCUGUCCUGCCCUUGGGAACCAUUUGCUAUUCCUUAAACAUGCCACAUUCUCUCUUGCCUCUGUAUCUUUGCACAUACUACUCUCUCCUGCCUAGAGCACUUAGAUCCUGCCUUCCCCCCUUACAAGCUACUCAUCCAUCCUUUCGCACUCCUCUCAGGCUUCCUUGCUUCUGGAAAGCCUUCCUAGUUCCUGAGGCAGUCUGGGUAUGAAGGGCAUGUACGAUGUGAAUUAUAAUUUAUUAGACUGGCAGCUCAUCAACUGGCAUAUCUUAGCCCAGCUUCUACAUUCAUAAUGAGCUUUUCUUUUCUUUCCCAGGUAGAUUUAUUGUCCUUUCUCCUAUGUUUCUUAUGAGAACCUUCAUGGAAUGUUUGUAUAUGUUGCUGUCUUUUGCACAUCUUAAUCCUCUACUAUAAUUUUCUAAAAGGCAGGGACAGGAUCUUCUCUUCAGAGUUUAUGAUGUGAGGGAUGAAGCUUGCUUUUAGAAAUCCCAUGCCACAAUUGAGAAAAUCUUCCAUCAUUGGUUUUUUUUGGGGGUGGGGUGGGGUUAAAGACAUUUAAGAUUUACUGUCUUAUAUUUCAUUUCUUUUAUUUAUUUUUUAAGAUUUUAUUUUUAAGUAGCUCUGCACCCAAUCUGGGGCUCGAACUUGGAACCCUGAGAUCAAGAGUCACAUGGUCUAUGGACUGAGCCAGCCAGACGCCCCAUGUCUUAACCAUUUUAAAGUGUACAGUUCAAUAGUGUUAAGUACAUUUACAUUGUUGUGAAAUGAAUCUACAGAACUUUUUCUUCUUGCGCAACUGAAACUACAUCAUUGCUUUUUAAUGCAACUAUGUUUUUGUUUAUUACAGGUGGUGUUCCGUUCUACGUCGGCUAUGGUUUACAUAUUUAUUCAGAUGAGCUGUGAAAUGUGGGAUUUCGAUAUUUAUGGUACUGUCCCUAAGUGAUGGUUGUAGCUGCCAUUGGGUAGAUAUUUCUGGUUUCCCCCAAGUUGGUAUCAUUUUAUAGCAAGAUGUUGACAUUCUCUAAAAAUGUAUCUUGAGAUCUUUAUAAGUCCUCAAAUGCGAAAAUAAAUAUAUUGAAAGUAAAUAUUUUACACACACACACACACACACAGACAUUUAUUUAUUUAUUUGGUGAAUUCCAUGAAAUGCUGUACAGUAUUAAUGGAAAAUCUGACUUCUCAGAUCUUUAAUUGUUCUGUAAGUAUAGGUUGAAAAGUCAUAAAGUCACUCUGUGGGUAGGAACCAACACUUUCUUUGAUAUCUUUCAUUUCUCUUCCUGUAACUCAGAGAAAUCUCCAUGUUGGUCUCAUUUUAUUAGAAUUACUAUGUAAUGAGUAGAGGGAAGAAAAGCUGCUAUGAGGUGUGGAUACUGUGUCCAACACACCAACCCUAUAGUGCAUGUAUUUCAUAUUUGUGUUUAGCACAUUAUAAGCAAAUUUGUGCCAUGGGUCAUCAAGGUCACUCAAGAACAGCAAGAACUGCAAAUGAUAAUUCAGUGAAUGCCCAGGGUCCUCUUCUAAUCAACUUUGAAUUUUUUUUUUUUUCAACGUUUAUUUAUUUUUGGGACAGAGAGAGACAGAGCAUGAACGGGGGAGGGGCAAAGAGAGAGGGAGACACAGAAUCAGAAACAGGCUCCAGGCUCUGAGCCAUCAGCCCAGAGCCUGAUGCGGGGCUCGAACUCACGGACCGCGAGAUCGUGACCUGGCUGAAGUCGGACGCUUAACCGACUGCGCCACCCAGGCGCCCCUCUCUUCUAAUCAACUUUGAACAUCAUUGUGAAAUACUCACAUUUAGUAUAUAUUCUUCGUCUCAUUCUGAAGAUAACACUGUAUUUUUCUUUUUUAAAAAAAGCUUGUUUUGAGAGACAGAGAGAGAGAGCGCGCGCACACACACGCGUGCGCGUGAGAGAGACAGACAGACAUCCUAGCAGGCUCCAUGCUGUCAGCUUGAACAGUUUGGGGCUUUAACCCAUGAACUGUGAGACCAUGACCCGAGCUGAAAUCAAGAGUUGGACACUUAACUGACUGAGCCACCCAGGCACCCCAACUCUGUAUUUUUAAAUCAUCAAAGUGUUUCAAUCUUGGAUGUUACCUUGGAGCCAUGGCCUCUUAGGCAGAUACUAAAUUUGGCUUGGUAGAAAGUCUAAGUUGAACACUUCUAUACAUCUGGCUUUUAGGAUCUUGUUUUAAGAUACAGCAGAACCCACCUUCUCUUUGGUCUCGUUCCUGCUGUUUUACUGAGAGAAGAUAUUGUGAACAAGAAAUAAAGAUAAUCUUCACCCUCUUCUCAUUGCUUUUCAGGGGAUCUAUAUUUUGAGAAAGCUGUGAAUGGUUUCCUUGCUGAUCUCUUUACCAAGUGGAAGGUAUGUUUUUUAUAUAGUAAACCUCAUUACAUAAACUUAUUCAUUGCAGAUUUUAGAAAUAUACUGUUUCUACUAAGCUGCCUUUAGUUAAAGUAUCUAAGCUAAAGCCUAAAUUGAUAAAACUAUAGAUUUAAUUACUUUAACUGCCUCAACAUGAUAAAGGUCAUUUAUGAGAAACCCACAGCUGACAUCAGACUCAAUGGUGAAAGACUAAAAACUUUCCUCCUUAAGAUAAGGAACAAGGUGGAGUGCCUGGGUGGCUCAGUCGAUUGGGUGACCAACUUUGGCUCAUGUCAUGAUCUCACAGCUCGUGAGUUCAGACCCCGCGUCAGGCUCUGUGCUGACAGCUUGGAGUCUGGAGCCUGCUUCGGAUUCUGUGUCUCCCUCUCUCUGUCCCUCCUCUUGCUCACACAGUCUCUCUCAAAAAUAAACAUUAAAAAAAAAUUAAAAAAAAAAAACAUUAGGAACAAGGUGAGGAUGCCUGCUGUCACCACUGGUGUUCAGCAUUGUACUUGAAGUUCUAGCCUCAGCAACUAGAAAAAAAAUAGAAAGCAUACAUAUUGGAAAAGAAGAAAUAAAACUAUUCUAUUGACAGAUGAUCUCCUAUAUGUAGAAGAUCCUAAAAAAUUCACCAAAAAACUAUUAGAGCUAAGAAAUGAAUUCAGCAAAGCUGCAAGAUUACAAAAUCAACACAAGCAGUCAGUUGUAUUUCAUCAGCAAUGAACACUCUGAACAAGAAAUUUAAAAGCAAAGAAAUAAAUUGUAUGUAUGUAUGUACUUAUUUAAGUAGGCUUCACACCCAGCAUAGAGCCCAACAGGGGGUUUGAACUCGCAAUCCUGAGAUCAUGACCUGAACUGAGAUCAAGAGAUAGACACUUAACCAACUGAGUCGCCCAGGCUCCCCCAAGGAAUUAAAUUUUAAAAAGAGAAUUAAAUUGGGGCACCUGGGUGGCUCAGUUGCUUGGGUGUCUGACUCCUGGUUUUGGCCCAGGUCAUGAUCUCAUGGUUCAUGAAUUCGAGCCUUGUGUCAGGCUCUGCACUGCUGGUGAGGAGCCUGCUUGGGAUUCUGUCUAUCUCCCUCUUUCUCUGCUCUUUCCCCACUCACUCUCUUUCUCUCUCUCAGAAUAAAUAAAUAAACUUUUUUUUUUUUUUAAUUUUUUUUUUCAACGUUUAUUUAUUUUUGGGACAGAUAGAGACAGAGCAUGAACGGGGGAGGGGCAGAGAGAGAGGGAGACACAGAAUCGGAAAUAGGCUCCAGGCUCUGAGCCAUCAGCCCAGAGCCCGACGCGGGGCUCGAACUCACGGACCGCAAGAUCGUGACCUGGCUGAAGUCGGACGCUUAACCGACUGCGCCACCCAGGCGCCCCAAUAAAUAAACUUAAAACAAAAAUUAAAAAGAGAAUUAACUUAAAAAAAUUCCAUAUACAAGAGCAUCUGAGAGAAUAAAAUACUUUCAAUUAAUUUACCCAAGGAGGUGCAAUAUUUGUUUGCUAAAAUCUAUAAAACCUUGCUGAAAGAGAUUAAUAAAGAUCUAAAUAAGUGAGAAAGAACCAACCCAUAAUCAUAGAUCGGGAGACUUAAUACCGUUAAAGUGGCAAUACUACUCAAACUAUAGUUCAGUCCCUAUCAGAAUCCCAGUGGCCUUUUUUUGCAGAAAUGGAAAAGCUGAUUGUAAAAUUUAUGAAGAAUUGCAAGGGAUCCUGCAUAGCCAAAACAACCUUGAGAAAGAACAAUAAAGUUGGAGGACUCUUACUUCGUAAUUUCAAAACUUACUACAAAGACAAAAUAGUCAAAACCAUGUGGUACUGGCAUUCAGAUAGAUUUGUAAAUCAAUGGAAUAGAAUUGAGAGUACAAGAAAUCAAUCGAUACAUCUGUGGUCAGUUGAUUUUAGACAAAGAUGUCAAGUCCAUUUAAUGAGGGAAAGAGUCUCUUCAACAAAUGGUUCUGAGGCAACUGAAUAUCCAUAUGCAAAAGAAUGAACUUGGAGUCUUACUUUGCAUCAUAUACAAAAAUUAACUCAAGGGGGAUCAAAGACCUAAUGUAGGAGAGCUAUUUGAGGUCACAUUAUGUUGUGGCAAAGAGCGUGGGGUUUGGAUAAAAACAGACUGGGUUUAAAAUCAUGAUUCUGCUCUGAUUAUCUUCUUCUUUUUUUUUUUUUUUUUUGUUAAAUCUUGGAGAAGUAGUCAGUCUUUCUGAGCCUCUGUUUUCUUUUCUGCAAAAUAGAGAUUAUAAUAGUCCCUGCCUCACAAGGUGUUUUAAAGCAUCUGUACAUAGUAAGGUCUCAGUUGAAUCUAAGUACCGUCUUCCUACCUCAGCAAUAUGGGGGCACUAUCCAUCAGCUGUGAAGGGUAUGGAAAUAGAUGACGCUUGCCCUCAGAGAACUUACGGAUCUGCUGGGGAGCUUGCAUCUACAUAUUUGAAACAAUAGAAAGCCAUAUGUUUUAGGGGUUAGAAUUUUAUUUACUUUUGAAUUUGGACCUGAAGACUGAGGAAGGUUUGGAUGGUUGGAAAGGAAGAUGGAGAGGGUAUGUCAGAUGAACAGUUUGAACAAAAGGGUGUAGAUGAGCAUGAGAGUAGGGUAUGGUCUUAGGCAACUUCACAGAAGGUUAGUGUAGGGAAUAAUUAAGUAGUAAGAUAGAUUCAAAGGAUGGGGUCACAUCAAGCCAGGCAGUUUGGACUUGACAGGAAGUGUGGGAACUAUUAAAGAUUCUCAAGCAAGUGGUCAAUAUGAUCAAAGCUGGGGAGAAUUUGAGGAAAGAGUAGUCCAAGUGGCCAGGAGCAGUGUGGUGAAGUGACACAUGGAAUUAAGCAGACCAGCCAGGAGGCUUCUGCAGUCAUGUAGCUUAACAGUGAUGAGGCCUUUGUGUCUGACUGAGUACAGGGGCUAAAGUUUGAGGUGGGCUAAAUAAUGGUCACCUUGGACCACAUAGUGGCCAUUUCAGUAUUGGGUGUGUGAAAACCUCCAUUUCAAGUCUGACUCAGUGUCCCUUAGAUGUCCCCUCACCCUACAGUCUAUGAAUGGACUUUUGAUUAGAUAUAGGGGUAGGGUUUGGCAUAGGCCUAGUCAUUAGUUUAUAGGACUUCACUCUUAGGAUUUGUUAAUUUUUUUAAAACUUGGUUUUAAAAAUUAAAUUUAAAAAUUUAAAACUUGGUUUUAAAAUUUUUUUAAAACUUGGUUUUAAAGCAGGAGCUUGAAAAUGAAUUAAAAUAACUUUCUGUAGCCACUCUGUAUUGAUUUAAUGAUAUUUGGUGAAGGUGAACUUUGUUUAUACCUUUUUACAGUUUUUUUAAGUUUAUUUAUUUUGAGUGAGAGAGAGAGAGAGAGUGAGCAAGAAGCAGGGAAGACACAGAGAGAAAGGGAGAGAGAAUCCCAAGCAAGCUCUGUGCUGUGCUGCACAGAGCCCAACAUGGGGCUUGAUCCCACAAACGGUGAGAUCAUGACCUGAGCUAAAAUCAAGAGUUAGUCACUCAACUAACUGAGCCACCAGGCACCCCGGUUGUUCUUUAUGCCUCCUAUUGAAUAACUUACAGCUAACACUGUGGACAGCAGGAUUGAGCAUGGGAGUUCAUGAAUUCAUUUCAGAGUCCAAAAUAUAGUAGGGGUGGGGAUAAUAGUAGUAGUCCCAGUUAACAUUCACUGAGUAUUUUGACAUACCUAGUAUCAUGGUAUGUGUUUUGCCUACAUUAUCUCACUCAAUCCUCUUGCUCCUGUUAAUACUGGUAGGGAAAGUACAGCUCAGUGAAGUUGGGUAACUUGCCCAUGAUCAACAGCAUGUGAAAGCAGAAUGAGGAUUCUCAUCUGGUGCCCUCCAUUCUCCCAGAGCUACCCUGAGAUUGUGGCCUCUGUGCUAUCCUGUCUGUAUUAUUACCCCAGGCCAUGCCACCUGUUGUAUGUUAGCCCCACUGUCACAUGAGUUGAGAGGCUCAUAUACCCACACCAGUCCAAUCACUGUAAGGCAUUUAUUCUUAUUUAUCACUUACACCAAAGUCAGAUAAAUUUGGAGUUGAGUUUGGAGCACUGGGCAUCCAAUAAAUUAGUAGGUGACUAAUGAAGAUUUGCUCUUUCCUAGCACUUUGCUGUUGGUGCUGUUGCUUGUAUUUAGGAAUUUCUGUCCACUUGAGAUAUAUCCAUGGGGGAAUAUAAGGUGGCAUGUUAUGUGCAUCAUGUUGUAUAUAUACCUUACAUGGUAAAUGCUGAAUUGUGUAGUCAGUCAACAUGGUGGGUUAGAGAUGGGGUUGGUCAGUGGAAGCACUCAUCUUCGAAGAUCCGGGAGGAACUGAAACUGGGCUUGCUGGCUUACUGGUGCAAGCCACAUUUCAUGCUAUCUGUAAACAUCCUGUUUCCAGAAUGUUGAUUUCCAGACUCCAUGGAAAUGUUUAUUCUCACUAGUCCCCAUCUCAGUCCAAAGGUACUAUGACACCUUGGCUUCAACUGCUGCAUCUUGAGCAGCUCCCAACCCUGAUUUUAUGACAGUGGUAGGAUGUGGGGGGUGUAUUUGAUUCUUACAUUCAGCACUAUGCGUUCUGUUCUUGUUCCUAAACUAUGGUUCUGAAGAAAUUUUAAAAACACCAUGAAGCAGGUACAAAUACCAUGAUCCUUUGAUAUUGGGUUCAUCUAGUUCAUGCCAAAUCAAGAACAGAGAUAGUGACCCAUAUGUAUUGAUGAUUUGCUGUUUUCAAAGCACUUUUUGCAUUCCUGGGACUAUUGCCCAAAGUUACAUAGUGGUAAACUUCCGGGCCAGGACUCAACCUGCAUCUUCUCACUUCAGCAGUGCUCUGUUCACUGCAUCAUGCAACCUACAAUGAUGUGACAUCAUCCAAUACAGUGUGCUGCCACUGAGUCUCCUAGAAUUGAGAAUAUUAUGUUAAUGCAGGCUGCUUCAUCAUGAAGUGAAUGAAAUAAACUUGAGCUGCUUUUUCUCUACUCAUUCCUAGGAGAAGAACUGUAGUCAUGAAGUGACAGUGGUCCUAUUUUCUAGAACUUUCUAUGAUGCAAAAUCUCUUGGUAAGUCUUUCUCCUACAGUUCCUUUUUUAAUGCUAACAGUUAAAAAAAAUUUUUUUUUAAUGUUUAUUAUUGAGAGACAGAGAAAGAGCAUGAGUAUGGGGGGGGGCGGGCAGAGAGAGGAGGAGACACAGUAUCCAAAGCAGACUCCGGGCUCUGAGCUGUCAGCACAGAGCUUGACAUGGGGCUUGAACUCACAAACCGUGAGAUCAUGAUUUGAGCUGAAGUCGGACGCUAAACCGACUGAGCCACCCAGGCGCCCCCUAUAGUUCUUUUUAUUAAGCUUUCCAUCCAUUCUUUAUCAUCUUUCCCACUCAUCUUUCCCACUUUUUCUCUAAUGAGCGUAGGGUAAAAUGGAAAACAACACAGUCCAUUAGUGGAUGCAAGAAGUCUGUGGGCCAUGCUUCAUCUUAAAGCCAACUUGAUAUAAUUUCAUUCAUUCAUUUGUUCAUUUAUUUUGGUAAUGCAAAUCUUCAACCCAGAAGGAGGAGCAGAUAAACUGUGAAUUUCUCUUCUCAACCUGAUCUACAUGUGUUGUUUUCUCUUUUUCAGAUGAAUUUCCUGAAAUAAACCGAGCCUCAAUUCGACAGGAUCACAAGGGACGGUACUAUGAAGACUUUUAUAAGUAUGUUUGAGGCUUUGCUAUGCCCACCCCCCCCCCCCCCCCCGCCUUUUUCUUGGCUGUUUCUUUCCUAACUUAAAAAAAAAGUAACCCUUUAAUUUUGGCAUAAUAGGUUUACAGAAUAGUUGCAAAGGUAGCACAGAGAGUUCACAUAUACCCUUCACCCAGUUUUCCCUGUUAAUAUUUCCUAACUAUGGUACAUUUGUCAAAACUAUGAGAUUAGCACUGGUAUAGUACUAUUAACUGAGUUCAGACAGUUCUCAUAUUUCAUCAGUUUUCCCACUUUAUGUACCUUUUUUCAUUCCAGCAUCCAAUCCAGGUUACCAUAUUGCAUUUAGACUUUUCAAACUUUGUACUGUGAAAAAUUUCAAACUCACAGAAAAGAAGAACAAAUAAUAUAAUAAAUUCACACACCCAACACUUAGAUUUAACAGCUAUUAUUAUGCCGCAUUUGCUUCAUCUGUUUUUUGGCUACAUUUUAUUUUAAGGUAAAUUAUAAAUAUGACAUUUUGUUCUUACACAUAUCUAAAAGAUAGGUUGAUUUCACAUAUAACCACAAUAUCAUGGUCACAUUGGACAAAGUCAAUUCUAUAAUAUCAUCUAAUAUCUAGUACAUAUUUAGGUUUCAUUAAUUCUCUGAUAACUUCUGUUUAAUCUGCCUGUUAAGUCUUAAUCUAAAGCAAUUUCACCCUUCCUUUUUGUCCCCAAACAUGUGACAUGUUGAAGACUCUGAGUUGGUAGUUCUGUAGUACUGUGUUUUCCAAACUUCCGUGUGCCUAUGAACCUCCCCUGGGGAUUGUGCUGAAUCCAAUCAGUUCAGGAGUCCCGGGGUGGCCCUGAGAUUCUGCAUGUCUAACUAGUUUCUAUGCUUGCAUAUGUUGGUUUCUGUACCCCAUUUUGAGUAGGGAGGCUAAGGAGGACCCCUUCUGGAUUUGUCUGAUUGCAUCCUUGUGGUGGUACUUAUUUUCUGUAAAUCAGAGGUUACAACUGGGGCAAUUUAGCUACCCUCUCCACUCACCCCGGGCGUUUGGCAGUGUCUAGAGACUUCUUUUUCCUUUUGGUCAAAAUGGUAUAGGAUAGGUAGGAAGGGGAGGUUGUACAACUGAUACCUACUGUGUAGAGGCCAGGGAUGCUGCUAUGCAUCCUGCAGUGCGCACAGGACAGCCCCCGCUGCAAAGUUAUUUAGCUCAAGGUAACAAUGGUGCUGAGGUUGAGAAGCCCUCUCUAAAGACUUGGUGGGAUUUAGGUUGGACCUUUUUUGUAAGACUUAUCAGGAAUGCACAUCAGUCCAGAUGUGCUGACAGUGCCCCUGAAUAAGGGAAUGCUUUGUGAGAUGAUAGAAGCGUAGUAGAUACAGUCGGAUGGGUUGCACUUGGGCCUGGAGCUGAAGGCCCUUGAUCUUUUAAACUCUCAGAUCUGUGGAGAAGUUUAUCACGUGAUUCUUGGCGCUUCAGGUGGAAGCUAGAGUAGAUCUCAAAACAGACCUUAAAAACCCUUUUGUGGGUGCCUGGGUGGUGGCUCAGUUGAUUGAGUGUCCAACUUCAGCUUGGGUCAUGAUCUCAUGGUUUGUGAGUUCAAGCGCCGCAUUGGGCUCUCUGCUGUCAGCACAGAGAAUGCUUAGGAUUCUUUCUCUCUCCCUCUCUCUCUGCCUCUCCUCUGCUCAUACUUUCUCUCAAAAAUGAAUAAACAUUAAAAAAAAUAAAAAGAAACCCUUUUGCUUUGUAGAUUUUAAAUGGAUUAUUUUAUUCUUGCCUGAAGUACCAAGAUUUUAUGUUAAAGUAAAAACCAAGUGCUUUGAAACUGAGCACAUUUCAUCAACUAACUAUACCUGUUAAAGCCCUUAGAGACUGCUUCUCUCAAAUGCACUACUCUGUCAUUGGUUCAGUCCUGCUUCCUUAGACUGUUUCCUUCUGUAACCCAGAGGAGGAACCCUUUGCUAGUUUCCCUUCCUAUCUUAGACUCUGAAAUACAAUGUCUUUGUGUUCUACAGUAACAGUUUACUUUGUGGGUUUAGUUUUUGUGUCAGAUGGCCAAUCCUCUCCCCUCCCUCCCAACCUGGAGCCUUAAACAUAUUUCUUUGUAGCUAGUUCCCUCCUAAGUCUGAAGCCAACACCAAAUGCCAAUUUGUAUUUUUCUCUCCCUUCUCAACUUUGUAAUAGCAUUUCUAAAGAAUAAAUAUUCUUUAGUAAUUAUAUAUAUUUAAAAAAAAACUGUAAAUUGUGGAUAAGCACCAAAGAGUGACAAAUUAUGAAACUUUUUAAGGCUGUUUUUGGAGUAAACUUUUUAACUUUUUAUCUCAAAAUCUUUUCAAUUAUGAGAACAUUGAAAGAGGAAUAUGAUGAAUCUGUAUACUUUUCACCUAGAUUUACCAAUUAUUAACAUUUAGUAGACACAUGAUUAUCUUCUACUUCAUUAUCAUCUUUUAAGGACCAAGGACUUUGUAAGAGAAUGUAAGAUUUUGCCAAUUGUCCUAAUAUUCCUUAUUGAAAUGUUUUUCCUGAUCCAGAUUUCUUCCUAGAAUCAUGCAUCAUUAUUAGCUUAAUCUUUUGUGUUUGUUUUUUACAAUAUGAACAACAUGGGUUCGAACUGCACGGAUCCAGUUACAUGUGGAUUUUUUUUGAUAGCUAUAAGACAGUACUAUAAAGGUAUUUUCCUUAUGAUUUUCUUUUUUAUUUUUUCUUUAUUUAUUUUGAGAGAGAGAGAGUACAAAUAGGGGAGGGAGGGAGGGAGGGGGAGAGAGAGAGAGAGAGAGAGAGAGAAAAUAUCCCAAGCAAGCUUCACGCUGCCAGUGCAGAGCUCAGCUUGGGGCUCAAACUCACAAACCACAAAAUCAUGAUGUGAGCCAAAAUCAGAGUCAGAUGCUUAAUCACCUGAGCCACCCAGGCCCCCCCCCCCCAAUUGUGAUUUUCUUAAUACCACUUUCUUUUGUCUAGCUUGUUUUAUUGUAAGAAUAUAAUAUAUAAUACCUAUAACAUACACAAUAUAUUAAUGGACACUAUAUUAAUGUUUAAGUUAUCAGUAAGGCUUCCAGUCAGGUUUUCAGGGAGUCAAAACAUACGCGCAGAUUUUCUGUUGCACAGGGCAGGGACAUCACUGCCUCUAACCCCUAUGUUGUUUAAGGGACAACUGUAUUUCCUUUAUCACUUGUUGGAUUACCUUUUUAUAUCACUGAAGAAAUAAUGCAUCUUUGUUGUAGAAAUUUUGAAAAAUCUAUAAAAGAGCACAAGAUAGAAAAUAAUAGUGGCUUCACUAUUGAGGUGAAAAUAAGAUGAUAAUAAUUAUCAUUUGUAUUCAGGACUUAUGUACGGGGCCUGAUUCUAAGCAAUUUAGGCAUCUUUGUUUCAUUUAAAUAUCACAACAUUCCUUGUGAUAGUUACUCAUCUCAUUUUAUAGAUGUAGACACUUGGACACAGAGUUUAACUUAUCCAAAGCCCAUGGAGGAUUAAGUGACAGAGGAUGCAGUUGACUCAGUCUAAUUCAGAGUCUGUGCUUUUGACCACUGUAUUCUUCAAUCCCAUACUGAUCUUACUUUAAAUUAUUUGUUGAUCUUCUUUUGGGUCCUGUAUCCCUGUGAGAAUUUCAUGAAAGGAUGGGCCAUUUCUUCCCCCAACAUUAUUACCAUUUAUCCCUUUACACUGAUAAAUUCUUCAAACCACUUCAGUGGAUUCCUGGAACCUCUUUAUUAUUAUUUUUUAAGUAAUCUCUAGGUCCAGCAUGGGGGUUGAACUCACAACCCCAGGAUCAAGAGUUGCAUACUCUACCAAGCACCCCUGAUUCCUGGACCCUUGAGAGCUCUUGUGGCUUAAGAGUACAUGAAGCCAUUUGUACAUAAUGAGUAUGAAUUCAUUUGAAUAUAAUUAUGGACAUAUUAAAACAUUAUAUAAAACAUGAAGGUAUGAGUUAUGAAUGUAGAUUUAUAUAUGCAUAUGAACAUAUCAUUAAUAUAAAUUUCCCAGGGUGCCUGGGUGGCUCAGUUGUUUAAGUGUCAGACUCUUGGUUUUGGCUCAGGUCAUGAUUUCAGGGUGUGUGGAAUUGGGCCCCGUGUUGGGCUCUGUGCUGACAGAGCAGAGCCUGCUUGGGAUUUUGUCUGUCCCCUCUCUCUCCCUCUCAAAAUAAAUAAACUUAAAAAAAAUUUCCCCACAUCAUUAAAAAGUCAUCCACAACAUUUUUUUAGAGCAAAAGAAGCUUUGGUUGUGUUUUUCCUUCUAUAAAAAUGAUACAGGUUUAUUUUAGGAAAAUCACAAAGUAUAGUUAAGAGUAAUUCAAAACACUUUCAAUUCCACCUCCCAGAUGCAGUCAUCAUCACCUGAGAGCAUCAAACCCACUUCUCUGUUUACAGAGACAAAAAACAGUUUUCACAGAGAUGUCAUUACAGACUCCCAUGCUUUUUUUUACAACGGCAUUUUCCAGGGCGUGGAGGUACUCCUGGGUGGCUCAGUUGGUUAAGCAUCCAAUUUCGGCUCAGGUUGUGAUCUCGUGAUUUGUGAGUUUGAGCGCCACAUCUGGCGCUGUGCUGACAGUGAAGAGCCUGCUUGGGAUUCUCUUUCUCUCUUCUCUCUCUCUGCCCCUUCCCAAAUUGCACACAUUUUCUCUCUCUCUCUCACAAAAUAAAAAUAAAAUAAAAUAAAAUAAAAUAAAAUAAAAUAAAAUAAAAUAAAAUAAAAUACUGGCAUUUUCCACCUACUAUAUCACAAAUGCCAUUUGAUGUCAAAUAUUCUACUUCCACAGCAUCAUUUUUAUUGCUAUGUAGACAUUUCAUUUGAUUGCCAACUAUUAUUGAACAUUGAGGUGAUUUUCAAUUUUUCACUAUUGUCAAAGUUCUACCAAUGAAUGAUCUUACAGUCUGUAAGCGUAACCUUAGUUAUAAUCUUAGCAUAACCUGAUGACCUUAGUUAUACCCUUAUAACUUGGCAUAACCUUCAGCAUACACUUAAGAUAAGUUCCCAGAAAUGGAGGUAUGGGAUCAAAGAUACUUUGUUUUUGUUCAGACUUUUCAUUUUUAUAGCCAAAUUGCCCUCCAAAAACAUUGAAGUGAAAAAUCCCAUUUUCCCAGUAACCAUGUUAUUUCUAUUUUUUUUUUAUCAAUACUGAAUACUAUUUUCUUCCUUUUUCUGACUCGUUCCCAAUUGGAGUGGGAAAAAAGUUAUCUCACUGAGUCUUAAUAGUCAUUUCUUUUAUUACCAAGAGUGAAUAUUUUCCUAUACUUGUUGGCCUUUGUAUUUCUCUUUUAUGAGUUAUAUAUUUAUAUUCUUAGCUAAUUUUUUCAUCUUUUUUUGUUUUUUAUCUUACCCUCUGUCUGAUUUUGCAAUCCAAAGGGAAGUACUUUUAAUACUGUGUGAACCAUCUGGGUGGUUCAGUUGGUUUAGUGUCCAACUCUUGGUUUCGGCUCAGGUUAUGAUCUCAUGGUAUGUGAGUUCGAGCCCCACAUCAGGCUCUGUGCUGGCGGUGCAGAGCCUGCUUGGGAUUCUGUCUCUUCCUCUUACUUUGCCCCUCCCCAGUUCACUUUCUCUGUCUCUCAAAAUAAAUAAAUAAACUUCACAAUAUAAAAAUAAAAAUAAAUACUGUGAUAUAUAUUUCUCCAGAUCUUUUUCUGUUUAGCCCAUUUUAAAAUUGGAUGAUUUCUUUGGCUUGUUUUACUUAUUUAUUUUUAAUUUUUUUAAUGUUUUAUUUUUAUUUUAUUUAAAAAAUUUUUUUUAUGUUUAUUUCUUUCUUAGACAGAGAGAGACAGAGCAUGAGUGGGGGAGGGGCAGAGAGAGAGGGAGACACAUAAUCAGAAGCAGGCUCCAGACUCUGAGCUGUCAGCACAGAGCCCGACACGGGGUUCUAACUCACAAACCGUGGAAUCAUGACCUGAGCUGAAGUUAGUCGCUCAACUAACUGAGCCACCCAGGCGCCCCUGUUUUAUUUUUUGAGAGAGAGAGAGAGAGAGAGAGACUGAGCAUGAGCAGGGGAGGGGUAGAGAGAGGGAGACACAGAAUUCGAAGCAGGCUCCAGGCUCUAAGCUGUCAGCCCAGAGCCUGACGCAGGGCCCAAACUCAUGAACCGUGAGCUCAUGACCUGAGCUGAAGUCAGAUGCUUAACUGACUGAGCCACCCAGGUGCCCCUGGCUUGUCUUAUUUUUAUUUUAUUUUAUUUUUUUAACACUUAUUUAUUUUUUGAGAGACAUAGAGAAACAGAGCAUAAGUUGGGGAGGGGCAGAGAGAGAAGGAGACACAGAAUCCGAAGCAGACUCCAGGCUCUGAGCUGUCAACACAGAGCCUGACAUGGGCUCGAACCCACAAACUGUGAGAUCAUGACCUGAGCCCAAGUUGGACACUUAACCGACUGAGCCACCCAGGUGCCCCUGGCUUGUCUUAUUUUUAAUAAAAUCAGAUGUAUUGUGGUGGAGAGAAUAGCAUUAUGAGCCUUCAUAUACCCAUUACUCAUAUUAAACAAUUAUCAGAGAAUCAUAUAAUUUUUGGUAGUUAUAUAAUAGUUUGUCAUAGUCUAAAAUUUUAUCAUAAUUUAAUUCCUUAUUAGAUAUUUAAUAUUUUUCUAAUUUUAAAAUUGAUCUAUGUACCACUGUGUAUCUAUGUAUCUAUAUAAAUACAUAUAUAGUUAUGCAUUUUGAAUGUUUCUUGUCUUUUUUUUUUUAAUUUGACUAUUUUUUUAGAGCUGUUUAGGUUCAUAACAAAAUUGAGAGAAGUUACAGGGAUAUCCCAUACACCUCUUCUGCCCACACAUACAUAAUGCCCUUCCCCUUAUUAUCAACAUUCCUCACCAGAGUGGUGCAUUUGUUACAAUUAAUGAACCUACACAGAUACGCCAUAAUCACUGAGAGUCCAUAGUUUACCUUAUGGUUCACUCUUGGUGUUGUAUAUUCUGUUGGUUUGGACAAAUAUAUAAUGACAUGUCUCCAUGAUUAUGGAGUAUUUUCACUGCCCUAAAAAUUCUUAGUGUUCCAGUUAUCCCUUCCCCCCAACCCCCAUGCCCUGGCAACCACUGAUCUUUCUAGAGUCUGUACAGUUUUGCCUUUUCCAGAAAGUCCUAGAGUUGGAAUCAUAUAGUAUGUAACCUUUUCAUGUUGGCUUUUUUCACUUAGUAAUAUAUUUAAGUAAUAUUCAUGGCUUAAUAGCUCAUUUCUUUUUAGCACUCAGUAGUAUUCCAUUGUCUGGAUGUAUCACAGUUUGUCCCAUUCCUUUACUGAAGGACAUCUUGGUUGCUUUCAAGUUUUGGCAAUUAUAAAUAAAGUUUCUAUACUCAUGUGUAGGUUUUUGUGUGCACCUAAGUUUUCAACUCAUUUGGGGAAAUACCAAGGAGUAUGAUUGCUAGAUCAUAUGAUAGGAGUAUAUUUAGUUUUGUAAGAGACCACCAAACUGUUUUCCAAAGUAACUCCAUUAUUUUACAUUCCCACCAGCAGUGACUCAAAGUUCCUAUUGCUCCAUAUCCUUACCAGCAUUUGCUAUUGUCAGUGUUCUAGAUUUUGGCCAUUCUAAUGGUCACUUAUUGCUGUUUUAAUUUGCAUUUCCCCAUAUGACAUGAUGUGAAGCAUCUUUUCAUAUGCUUAUUUGCCAUGUGUAUUUCUUCUUUGGUGAGGUGUCUGUUCAGGUAUUCUGCCCAUCUUUAAAUUGGGUUGUUUAUUUCUGAUUGUUGAGUUUUAAGAGUUCUUUGUGUUUUUGGAUGAUAGUUCUUUAUCAGAUGUGUCUUUUGCUGACAUUUUCUUCUAGUCUGUGGCUUGUCUUCUAAUUCUCUUGUCAUUGUCUUUCCCAGAGCAGAAGUUAUUUAAUUUUAAUAAGGUCUAGUUUAUCAGUUUUUCUCUUUCAUGGAUUGUGGCUUUGGUGUUGAAUCUAAAAAGUCAUCACCCUAGGGGCGUCUAGGUGGCUCAGUCGGUUAAGUGUCCAACUUGAUUUUGACUUGGUUCAUGAUCUCAUGGUUGGUGAGUCAAGCCCCAUGUCAGGCUCUGCACUCACAGUGUGGAAUGUGCUUGGGAUUAUCUCUCCCUCUUUGCCCCUUUCCUGCCAGUACCCGCACACUCUCUCUCACUUUCUCUCUCUCAAAACAAGUAAAUAAAACUUAAACAAAAAGUCACACCCCAACUAGUGUCAUCUGGGUUUUCUGGUGUGUUAUCUUUUAGGAGUUUUAUAGUUUUACAUUUUAUAUUUAGGUCUAUGAUCUGUUUUGAGUUAAUUUUAUGAAGGGUAUAUAGUCUGUAUCUAGAUUCUUUUUCUUUUCUUAUUUUUUGUGUGUGGAUGUCCAGUUGCUCCAGCACCAUUUGUUGAAAAGAAUGUCUUUGUACCAUUGUGUUGUCUUUGCUUCUUUGUCAAAGAUCUAUUGGGGUGCCUGGGUGGCUUAGUCAGUUAAACAUCUGACUUUGGCUAAGGUCAUGAUCUCAUGGUUCGUGGGUUCGAGCCCCGCAUCAGAUUCUGUGCUGACAUCUCAGAACCUGGAACCUGCUUCAGAUUCUGUUUCUCCCUCUCUCUCUACCUGUCCCCAGCUUGUGCUCACUAGCUCUCUCUCUCAAAAAUAAAUGAACAUUAAAAAAAAAAUCUGAUUAUAUUUUGGGGCUUCUGUUUCUGGGCCCUUUAUUCUGUUCCAUUGAUCUAUUUAUCUACUCUUUCACCAAUGCCACACUAUCUUUAGCUUUAUUUGUAGCUUUAUAGUUAAGUCUUGAAGUUGGAUAGUGUUAGUUUUCCACCUUUGUUCUUUUCCUUCAAUAUUGGGUUGGCUAUUCUGGGUCCUGUAUGUUUCUUUAGGAUAAAUUCCUAGCAUACACACACAUGCAAACCUAUAUGUAUGUAUACACGCACACACACACACACACACACACAUAUAUACACACACAUUUAUUUUUAUUUUUUGUAAUACAUUCACAUGUAUUUUUAAGGUUUUUAAGGUUCACAAGCUCUACAGUAAACAGAUUCUCACCUAUCCCUUUCUACUAAUGUAGUCCCCUGUCAUAGAUUUGUUUAUUAGAUAUAUAUGUAAAACCUACAUAUAGAUGUUUUAUUUUAUGCUUCUUAUAUACCACCUAAUUAUAAUUCAUUGUAUGAAGAUUUCAUGUUCCUGCUGAAUACUAGGCAUUAAUAUGAUUUCAAGGCAAUUUUUAAAUAUUUUCUUACUUUUUGUUUUCAAUCUAUAUGACUAUUGAUAAUACAGGUCUUUGUUAAUGUUUGUUACUUGCACUUGGCUUUAAUACUUAUUAUUAUAUGAUAAAUUACCUUAACCCUGGAAAUCCCAUCUUCUCCUUUCUUUUGAAAUUCUGUGAGAGACCUGAUAUAUGUAAUAGCUGCUCAAUGUCUAUUUUAUGACAAUAUUCCUUUCAGAGUGGUGGUGCAGAAUGAGAGGAGAGAAGAGUGGACAUCACUCCUUGUGACCAUUAAAAAACUCUUUAUCCAGUAUCCAGUGUUGGUGCGACUGGAACAGGCAGGUACUGCAUUCAUAAUGACAGAAAGUGCGGCAGGGAAAGGAGGUGUAGGAUGGAGGCUGGGAGAUGAGAGGUUCAUGCUUGCUUCUUUCACAGUGCUGGACAGAGUUUCUGCUUCUGGUCAGGUUUCUAUUUCCAGCUGGGUCUAAUUGUUCAUUACAUAUGCAGUAAGUUCAAUAGUAUACCUACUACAGGGUAGGGGGACCUAUGGAGCCAGACACUUUCCACUUGUUCUUUAAGAGUUCAUCUUUCAUGGGAUACUUUUCCUUCUCUUAUGUCUUUUGCUUCAGAGGGCUUUCCUCAAGGAGAUAAUUCUACCUCAGCACAAGGAAACUACCUAGAGGCCAUCAAUCUGUCAUUCAAU
This 36593-nucleotide long non-coding RNA is filed under the name Lynx pardinus (Iberian lynx). Lineage: Eukaryota; Metazoa; Chordata; Mammalia; Carnivora; Felidae. The record is from RNAcentral.